This 253-nucleotide ribosomal RNA is filed under the name uncultured bacterium. RNAcentral describes it as "partial 16S ribosomal RNA". It matches the Rfam family "Bacterial small subunit ribosomal RNA", at positions 524 to 776 of the family's 1533-position model. The record is from RNAcentral.
UACAGAGGGUGCAAGCGUUAAUCGGAAUUACUGGGCGUAAAGCGUGCGUAGACGGUUACAUAAGUCGGGUGUGAAAGCCCCGGGCUCAACCUGGGAAUUGCAUUCGAGACUGCGUAGCUAGGGUGCGGAAGAGGGAAGCGGAAUUUCCGGUGUAGCGAUGAAAUGCGUAGAUAUCGGAAGGAACACCAGUGGCGAAAGCGGCUUCCUGGUCCAGCACCGACGUUCAGGCACGAAAGCGUGGGGAGCAAACAGG